GAUGAACGCUGGCGGCGUGCCUAAUACAUGCAAGUCGAGCGAACAGACGAGGAGCUUGCUCCUCUGACGUUAGCGGCGGAAGGGUGAGUAACACGUGGAUAACCUACCUAUAAGACUGGGAUAACUUCGGGAAACCGGAGCUAAUUCCGGAUAAUAUAUUGAACCGCAUGGUUCAAUAGUGAAAGACGGUUUUGCUGUCACUUAUAGAUGGAUCCGCGCCGCAUUAGCUAGUUGGUAAGGUAACGGCUUACCAAGGCAACGAUGCGUAGCCGACCUGAGAGGGUGAUCGGCCACACUGGGACUGAGACACGGUCCAGACUCCUACGGGAGGCAGCAGUAGGGAAUCUUCCGCAAUGGGCGAAAGCCUGACGGAGCAACGCCGCGUGAGUGAUGAAGGUCUUCGGAUCGUAAAACUCUGUUAUUAGGGAAGAACAAAUGUGUAAGUAACUAUGCACGUCUUGACGGUACCUAAUCAGAAAGCCACGGCUAACUACGUG
Molecule: ribosomal RNA, 497 nt
Filed under: uncultured bacterium
Lineage: Bacteria
Description: partial 16S ribosomal RNA
Rfam family: Bacterial small subunit ribosomal RNA
Source: RNAcentral